UACGUAGGAGACGAGCGUUGUCCGGAAUUACUGGGCGUAAAGCGCACGUAGGUGGUUUGUUAAGUCAGCUGUGAAAUCCCCGGGCUCAACCUGGGCACUGCAGUUGAAACUGGCAAGCUAGAGUAGGGUAGAGGGGUGUGGAAUUCCAGGUGUAGCGGUGAAAUGCGUAGAUAUCUGGAGGAACAUCAGUGGCGAAGGCGACACCCUGGACUCAUACUGACACUGAGGUGCGAAAGCGUGGGGAGCAAACAGG
RNAcentral lists this ribosomal RNA (253 nucleotides) under uncultured bacterium. RNAcentral describes it as "partial 16S ribosomal RNA". It matches the Rfam family "Bacterial small subunit ribosomal RNA", at positions 524 to 776 of the family's 1533-position model. The record is from RNAcentral.